RNAcentral lists this ribosomal RNA (800 nucleotides) under uncultured bacterium. RNAcentral's name for it is "bacterial SSU rRNA". It matches the Rfam family "Bacterial small subunit ribosomal RNA", at positions 8 to 857 of the family's 1533-position model. The record is from RNAcentral.
AGAGUUUGAUCAUGGCUCAGAACGUACGCUGGCGGCACGCCUAACACAUGCAAGUCGAACGCAGUAGCAAUACUGAGUGGCAGACGGGUGAGUAACAUGUGGGAAUCUGCCUUGUGGUUCAGGACAACAUUGGGAAACCGAUGCUAAUACUGGAUAAGCCCUUACGGGGAAAGUUUUAAUGCCAUAAGAUGAGCCCGCAUUUGAUUAGUUAGUUGGUGAGGUAAUGGCUCACCAAGACAAUGAUCAAUAGCUGAUCUGAGAGGAUGAUCAGCCACACUGGGACUGAGACACGGCCCAGACUCCUACGGGAGGCAGCAGUGGGGAAUCUUGCACAAUGGAGGAAACUCUGAUGCAGCGAUGCCGCGUGAGUGAAGAAGGCCUUUGGGUUGUAAAGCUCUUUUGUAGGGGAAGAUAAUGACUGUACCCUAAGAAUAAGGUCCGGCUAACUUCGUGCCAGCAGCCGCGGUAAUACGAAGGGACCUAGCGUAGUUCGGAAUUACUGGGCGUAAAGCGCGCGUAGGCCGUUGAGUUAGUUAAUUGUGAAAUCCCAAAGCUUAACUUUGGAACUGCAAUUAAAACUGCUCGACUAGAGUUUGAUAGAGGAAAGCGGAAUACAUAGUGUAGAGGUGAAAUUCGUAGAUAUUAUGUAGAACACCAGUUGCGAAGGCGGCUUUCUGGAUCAACACUGACGCUGAGGCGCGAAAGUAUGGGUAGCAAAGAGGAUUAGAUACCCUCGUAGUCCAUACCAUAAACGAUGAUUGCUAGAUGUUGGAAAUUUAUUUUCAGUAUCGCAGCUAACG